GACGAACGCUGGCGGCGUGCCUAAUACAUGCAAGUUGAGCGCUGAAGGUUGGUACUUGUACCAACUGGAUGAGCAGCGAACGGGUGAGUAACGCGUGGGGAAUCUGCCUUUGAGCGGGGGACAACAUUUGGAAACGAAUGCUAAUACCGCAUAAAAACUUUAAACACAAGUUUUAAGUUUGAAAGAUGCAAUUGCAUCACUCAAAGAUGAUCCCGCGUUGUAUUAGCUAGUUGGUGAGGUAAAGGCUCACCAAGGCGAUGAUACAUAGCCGACCUGAGAGGGUGAUCGGCCACAUUGGGACUGAGACACGGCCCAAACGCCUACGGGAGGCAGCAGUAGGGAAUCUUCGGCAAUGGACGAAAGUCUGACCGAGCAACGCCGCGGGAGGGAAGAAGGGUGUCGGAUCGUAAAACUCGGUUGGUAGAGAAGAACGUUGGUGAGAGUGGAAAGCUCAUCAAGUGACGGUAACUACCCAGAAAGGGACGGCUAACUACGUG
This 497-nucleotide ribosomal RNA is filed under the name uncultured bacterium. RNAcentral's name for it is "partial 16S ribosomal RNA". It matches the Rfam family "Bacterial small subunit ribosomal RNA", at positions 28 to 507 of the family's 1533-position model. The record is from RNAcentral.